This 179-nucleotide unclassified non-coding RNA is filed under the name soil metagenome. Its description in RNAcentral is "partial internal transcribed spacer 1". The record is from RNAcentral.
CCGAGUGCGGGUCCCUCGCGGCCCAACCUCCCACCCUUGUCUCUAUACACCUGUUGCUUUGGCGGGCCCACCUGGGGCCACCUGGUCGCCGGGGGACGUACGUCCCCGGGCCCGCGCCCGCCGAAGCGCUCUGUGAACCCUGAUGAAGAUGGGCUGUCUGAGUACUAUGAAAAUUGUCA